GGUACCUGAAGAAAAAGCAUCGGCUAACUCCGUGCCAGCAGCCGCGGUAAUACGGAGGAUGCAAGCGUUAUCCGGAAUCAUUGGGCGUAAAGGGUCCGCAGGUGGCGAAUAAAGUCUGCUGUUAAAGACCGGGGCUAAACUCCGGAAAGGCAGUGGAAACUGAUUAGCUAGAGUACGGUAGGGGUAGAGGGAAUUCCCAGUGUAGCGGUGAAAUGCGUAGAUAUUGGGAAGAACACCGGUGGCGAAAGCGCUCUACUAGGCCGAAACUGACACUGAGGGACGAAAGCUAGGGUAGCGAAAGGGAUUAGAUACCCCUGUAGUCUUAGCGGUAAACGAUGGAUACUAGGUGUAGCUUGUAUCGACCCGAGCUGUGCCGAAGCUAACGCGAUAAGUAUCCCGCCUGGGGAGUACGCACGCAAGUGUGAAACUCAAAGGAAUUGACGGGGGCCCGCACAAGCGGUGGAGUAUGUGGUUUAAUUCGAUGCAACGCGAAGAACCUUACCAGGGCUUGACAUGUCGCGAAUCUAGCGGAAACGUUAGAGUGCCUUAGGGAAUGCGAACACAGGUGGUGCAUGGCUGUCGUCAGCUCGUGUCGUGAGAUGUUGGGUUAAGUCCCGCAACGAGCGCAACCCUCGUCCUUAGUUGCCAAUAUUAAGUUAGGCACUCUAGGGAGACUGCCGGGGACAACUCGGAGGAAGGUGGGGAUGACGUCAAGUCAGCAUGCCCCUUACGUCCUGGGCGACACACGUACUACAAUGGUUGGGACAAAGGGCAGCAAACUCGCGAGAGUAAGCGAAUCUCAUCAAACCCAGCCACAGUUCAGAUUGCAGGCUGCAACUCGCCUGCAUGAAGUAGGAAUCGCUAGUAAUCGCAGGUCAGCAUACUGCGGUGAAUUCGUUCCCGGGCCUUGUACACACCGCCCGUCACACCAUGGAAGCUGGCUACGCCCGGAGUCGUUACCCUAACCCGGUUUUGGGAGGGGGAUGCCGAAGGUAGAGCUAGUGACUGGGGUGAAGUCGUAACAAGGUAGCCGUACCGGAAGGUGUGGCUGGAUCACCUCCUUUACAGGGAGACCUAGUCUAAUUACCAAUAGAUAAAAAAGCUGGUAAUUCGCAAGAAUCCUUAGGUCGUGAGGGGAGCAAGAAAAAACUUUCAAACUGUAAUGGGUGAGGGUCAAUGGGCUAUUAGCUCAGGUGGUUAGAGCGCAUCCCUGAUAAGGGUGAGGUCCCUGGUUCAAGUCCAGGAUGGCCCACCUAAAAUACACAGGCAUCCUGCCUGUGCCACAAAAAAAGGAAAAAGUUUUGGCAUUGUCUCUUGUAAUCAAGAGCAAGAGAUAAUGCUGGAAUAGAUUCCA
This 1354-nucleotide unclassified non-coding RNA is filed under the name uncultured cyanobacterium. RNAcentral's name for it is "bacterial SSU rRNA". The stretch from base 1 to 1064 matches the Rfam family "Bacterial small subunit ribosomal RNA", at positions 474 to 1533 of the family's 1533-position model. The record is from RNAcentral. Lineage: Bacteria; Bacillati; Cyanobacteriota.